GCACGUUUGAGCUUCUGCAAGAACCAAUGAGGUUCAUUCUCGUGUUACGCAGUACGUUUGAGCUUCAGCAAGAACCAAUGAGGUUCAUUCUCGUGUUACGCAGCACGUUUGAGCUUCAGCAAGAACCAAUGAGGUUCAUUCUCGUGUUACGCAGUACGUUUGAGCUUCAGCAAGAACCAAUGAGGUUCAUUCUCGUGUUACGCAGUACGUUUGAGCUUCAGCAAGAACCAAUGAGGUUCAUUCUCGUGUUACGCAGCACGUUUGAGCUUCAGCAAGAACCAAUGAGGUUCAUUCUUCAGCAAGAGGUUUGUUCUCGUGUCAAGCAGGUUCUGUGUGUUCGCUGAUCAAUGUUUAUAUGUGAAUAAGAGACUAACUUUAAUCUGU
Long non-coding RNA from Ctenopharyngodon idella (grass carp), 384 nucleotides. RefSeq lists it as uncharacterized. The record is from RefSeq and is a predicted model, not a curated record. NCBI's taxonomy places the organism in Eukaryota, Metazoa, Chordata, Actinopteri, Cypriniformes, Xenocyprididae. The transcript has 4 exons.